RNAcentral lists this ribosomal RNA (502 nucleotides) under uncultured bacterium. RNAcentral's name for it is "partial 16S ribosomal RNA". It matches the Rfam family "Bacterial small subunit ribosomal RNA", at positions 28 to 507 of the family's 1533-position model. The record is from RNAcentral.
GACGAACGCUGGCGGCGUGCUUAACACAUGCAAGUCGAACGGUGAAGGGGUCUGCUUUUGUGGGCCCUGGAUGAGUGGCGAACGGGUGAGUAACACGUGAGUAACCUGCCCCCUUCUUCUGGAUAACCGCAUGAAAGUGUGGCUAAUACGGGAUAUUCUGGGUCUGUCGCAUGAUGGGUCUGGGAAAGAUUGCGCCUUUGGGUGUUUUUGGUGGGGGAUGGGCUCGCGGCCUAUCAGCUUGUUGGUGGGGUGAUGGCCUACCAAGGCGGUGACGGGUAGCCGGCCUGAGAGGGUGGACGGUCACACUGGGACUGAGACACGGCCCAGACUCCUACGGGAGGCAGCAGUGGGGAAUAUUGCACAAUGGGCACAAGCCUGAUGCAGCGACGCCGCGUGAGGGAUGGAGGCCUUCGGGUUGUAAACCUCUUUCGCCAGUGAAGCAGGCCUGCUCCUUGUGGGUGGGUUGACGGUAGCUGGAUAAGAAGCGCCGGCUAACUACGUG